GACAGAGGCCUCGAGCGUUAGGCGGAAUCACUGGGCUUAAAGCGUGUGUAGGCGGGCCCGUCAGUACCUUGUGAAAUCCCACGGCUCAACCGUGGAACCGCUGGGUAUACUGCGGGUCUUGGGCCGACUAGGGGCAGCCGGAACAAGCGGUGGAGCGGUGAAAUGCGUAGAGAUCAGCAGGAACACCCGUGGCGAAGGCGGCCCCCUGGGCCGUACCUGACGCUGAGGCGCGAAGGCUAGGGGAGCGAACGGG
This 253-nucleotide ribosomal RNA is filed under the name uncultured bacterium. Its description in RNAcentral is "partial 16S ribosomal RNA". It matches the Rfam family "Bacterial small subunit ribosomal RNA", at positions 524 to 776 of the family's 1533-position model. The record is from RNAcentral.